Non-coding RNA from Pelobates cultripes (western spadefoot toad), 375 nucleotides. NCBI's taxonomy places the organism in Eukaryota, Metazoa, Chordata, Amphibia, Anura, Pelobatidae. The record is from the annotation of a GenBank genome assembly.
GUUCAUGUUUCCCUCAUAUCUUGUGUACAUGUUCUGGGUUCUGCUUUCUAUCCUUCUCUGGUUCUGGGUUCUACUAGUUUUGUCUUGUCUUAUCUUGUUUGGUGCCUGUUCUAGUCUUGCCUUGUUUCUAGUACUGGAUACAUAUCUGCUGCAGAGCCUCCCUAUCCAGAUCCUGGGAGGUCUGCAUAUUUUCUCCUUGUUCCUGGGAUCCGCAGAAGCUGCAUCAGGGCCCUGGUAUGUGGCCGCACAAACCCUGGUGCUCAACACCAGGGGGCGGGUGAUUACCCUGCACCAGGCCCUGAUUGUUUCACUUCCAUGAGGUUGACUCCGAUCAUCAUCAGGUACACAGGGGUCCCAUUCUCUGUACCGUCACCC